CCAAUAGCGUAUAUUAAAGUUGUUGCAGUUAAAAAGCUCGUAGUUGAAUUUCGGGAUUGACGUGAUGGUCAUGCCUUAAGGGGUAUGAACUGUUGCAGUUGAUUUCUCACCUUCUGGAGAAACUUGAUGUCCUUUAUUGGGUGUCUUGCGGAUCCAGGACCUUUACCUUGAAAAAAUUAGAGUGUUUAAAGCAGGCAUUUUUGCUCGAAUACAUUAGCAUGGAAUAAUAGAAUAGGACGGCAUGGUUCUAUUUUGUUGGUUUCUAGGAUCACCGUAAUGAUUAAUAGGGAUAGUUGGGGGCAUUAGUAUUCAAUUGUCAGAGGUGAAAUUCUUGGAUUUAUUGAAGACUAACUACUGCGAAAGCAUUUGCCAAGGAUGUUUUCAUUAAUCAAGAACGAAAGUUAGGGGAUCGAAGACGAUCAGAUACCGUCGUAGUCUUAACCAUAAACUAUGCCGACUAGGAAUCAGACGAUGUUAAUUUUUUAAUGACUCGUUUGGCACCUUACG
This 507-nucleotide non-coding RNA is filed under the name uncultured Glomeromycotina. RNAcentral's name for it is "SSU rRNA". It matches the Rfam family "Eukaryotic small subunit ribosomal RNA", at positions 591 to 1092 of the family's 1831-position model. Lineage: Eukaryota; Fungi; Glomeromycota. The record is from RNAcentral. RNAcentral also lists the same sequence under 1 other name.